GGUCAGUUGGUCUAAUGGCUUAUGAUGCUUGACUGUCUAUCAUGCGAUACGGGUUCGAUUCCCGUACUGACCG
Molecule: transfer RNA, 73 nt
Filed under: bacterium 336/3
Lineage: Bacteria; Pseudomonadati
Rfam family: tRNA
About the family: Transfer RNA (tRNA) molecules are approximately 80 nucleotides in length. Their secondary structure includes four short double-helical elements and three loops (D, anti-codon, and T loops).
Source: Rfam by way of RNAcentral